AUAUGAUUUUCAUCUGUUUAACAAAAACAUUGUUUCUUGUAGUUGAUUUGAGAUAAUGUCUGCCCACUGAGAAGUUAAAGGGCUGCAGUAUACUGACUGUACAAAGGUAGCAUAAUAAAUAGUUUCUUAAUUGGGAGCUGGAAUGAAAGGCUUAAUGAGAGAUCUGCUGUCUUAUUUGAAGAAUUAGAAUUUAAUUUUUGGGUAAAAAUGCCUAAAUGUGUGAGUGGGACGAGAAGACCCUGUAGAAUUUUAUUUUAUUAUGUGGUUAGUUAAAUUUGAGUUUGGGAGGAAAUAUAUGAAGUAAAAUUUAAUUGGGGUGAUUAAAAAAUAAUUAACUUUUAUUUAUUAAUAUUAAAUAUAAGUAUAUAUUUGAUCCAUGAUGGAUGAUUGUAAGAUAAAUUACCUCAGGGAUAACAGCGUAAUUUAUUCGGAUAGUUCAUAUAGAUGAAUAAGAUUGCGACCUCGAUGUUGAAUUAGAAUUAUUUUUGGUGUAGCUGCUAUAGUGAUGAAGUCUGUUCGACUUGGAUUUUUUACAUGAUUUGAGUUCAGACCGGUGUGAGCCAGGUUGGUUUCUAUCUACUUAAUUGAAAAUAUUUUAGUACGAA
This 605-nucleotide ribosomal RNA is filed under the name Nocticola quartermainei. RNAcentral's name for it is "partial large subunit ribosomal RNA". It matches the Rfam family "Bacterial large subunit ribosomal RNA", at positions 1783 to 2670 of the family's 2925-position model. Lineage: Eukaryota; Metazoa; Arthropoda; Insecta; Blattodea; Nocticolidae. The record is from RNAcentral.